CAGCCGUACCAUGCUGAAUAUACCGGUUCUCGUUAGAUCACCGAAGUCAAGCAUCAUAGGGCGCGGUCAGUACUUGGGUGGGUGACCACCUGGGAACACCGCGUGCCGUU
This 110-nucleotide ribosomal RNA is filed under the name Caerostris darwini. The record is from RNAcentral. Lineage: Eukaryota; Metazoa; Arthropoda; Arachnida; Araneae; Araneidae.